RNAcentral lists this ribosomal RNA (444 nucleotides) under uncultured bacterium. RNAcentral describes it as "partial 16S ribosomal RNA". It matches the Rfam family "Bacterial small subunit ribosomal RNA", at positions 338 to 795 of the family's 1533-position model. The record is from RNAcentral.
CCUACGGGUGGCAGCAGUGGGGAAUAUUGGGCAAUGGGCGCAAGCCUGACCCAGCAACGCAGCGUGAAGGAAGAAGGCUCUCGGGUUGUAAACUUCUUUUCUCAGGGACGUAGCAAGUGACGGUACCUGAGGAAUAAGCCACGGCUAACUACGUGCCAGCAGCCGCGGUAAUACGUCGGUGGCAAGCGUUAUCCGGAUUUACUGGGUGUAAAGGGCGUGUAGGCGGGACUGCAAGUCAGAUGUGGAAACCACGGGCUCAACCUGUGGCCUGGAUUUGAAACUGUAGUUUUUGAGUACUGGGGAGGCAGACGGAAUUCCGAGGGUAGCGGUGAAAUGGGUAGAUAUUAGGAGGAACACCAGUGGCGAAGGCGGUCUGCUGGACAGCAACUGACGCUGAGGCGCGAAAGCGUGGGGAGCAAACAGGAUUAGAUACCCUUGUAAGUC